GGUCCUCUGCUGUGUGCGACGGCGUGUGCAAACAUUCGCCUUGUCCCUUAAUUACGACCACGGGGAUGCAUUGGCGACCAGGCGUGCAAGUCCGCCCUGAGCGGGAAGCCCGAAGGCCGCCACGCGUUCCCACUUGAACCCCGGGUUCAAGGUCGUUUCGCACGCAUCGCCACGGCGGAGACCUU
RNAcentral lists this non-coding RNA (185 nucleotides) under Thermomonas sp. RNAcentral describes it as "6S RNA". It matches the Rfam family "6S / SsrS RNA". Rfam says of the family: E. coli 6S RNA was the first non coding RNA to be sequenced, but its function was unknown until recently. It consists of 184 nucleotides that fold into an extended hairpin structure with a large single-stranded internal bulge. Lineage: Bacteria; Pseudomonadati; Pseudomonadota; Gammaproteobacteria; Lysobacterales; Lysobacteraceae. The record is from RNAcentral.